AUUGCCUUAGUAACGGCGAGUGAAGCGGCAACAGCUCAAAUUUGAAAUCUGGACCUAGUCUCGAGUUGUAAUUUGCAGAGGAUGAUUUGGCGCGGUGCCUUCCAAGUUCCCUGGGACGGGACGCCGGAGAGGGUGAGAGCCCCGUCAGGUUGGACACCAAGCCUAUGUAAAUCUCCUUCGACGAGUCGAGUAGUUUGGGAAUGCUGCUCUAAAUGGGAGGUAUAUGUCUUCUAAAGCUAAAUACCGGCCAGAGACCGAUAGCGCACAAGUAGAGUGAUCGAAAGAUGAAAAGCACUUUGGAAAGAGAGUUAAACAGCACGUGAAAUUGUUAAAAGGGAAGCGUUUACGACCAGACUUGUGCCGGUUGAUCAUCCAGCGUUCUCGCUGGUGCACUCUGCCGGCCCAGGCCAGCAUCAGUUCGCCGCGGGGGAUAAAGGCGUCGGGAAUGUAGCUCCCUCGGGAGUGUUAUAGCCCUUCGCGCAAUACCCUGGGGCGGACUGAGGUUCGCGCAUUCGCAAGGAUGCUGGCGUAAUGGUCGUCAACGACCCGUCUUGAAACACGGACCAAGGAGUCGUCUUCGUAUGCGAGUGUUCGGGUGUAAAACCCCUACGCGUAAUGAAAGUGAACGCAGGUGAGAGCUUCGGCGCAUCAUCGACCGAUCCUGAUGUUCUCGGAUGGAUUUGAGUAAGAGCAUACGGGGCCGGACCCGAAAGAAGGUGAACUAUGCCUGUAUAGGGUGAAGCCAGAGGAAACUCUGGUGGAGGCUCGCAGCGGUUCUGACGUGCAAAUCGAUCGUCAAAUAUGGGCAUGGGGGCGAAAGACUAAU
Molecule: ribosomal RNA, 826 nt
Filed under: Alfaria putrefolia
Lineage: Eukaryota; Fungi; Ascomycota; Sordariomycetes; Hypocreales; Stachybotryaceae
Description: eukaryotic LSU rRNA
Rfam family: Eukaryotic large subunit ribosomal RNA
Source: RNAcentral